Molecule: ribosomal RNA, 492 nt
Filed under: uncultured bacterium
Lineage: Bacteria
Description: partial 16S ribosomal RNA
Rfam family: Bacterial small subunit ribosomal RNA
Source: RNAcentral
AGUGAACGCUGGCGGUAGGCCUAGCACAUGCAAGUCGAACGGCAGCACAGUAAGAGCUUGCUCUUACGGGUGGCGAGUGGCGGACGAGUGAGGAAUACAUCGGAAUCUACUUUUUCGUGGGGGAUAACGUAGGGAAACUUACGCUAAUACCGCAUACGACCUACGGGUGAAAGCAGGGGAUCUUCGGACCUUGCGCGAUUGAAUGAGCCGAUGUCGGAUUAGCUAGUUGGCGGGGUAAAGGCCCACCAAGGCGACGAUCCGUAGCUGGUCUGAGAGGAUGAUCAGCCACACUGGAACUGAGACACGGUCCAGACUCCUACGGGAGGCAGCAGUGGGGAAUAUUGGACAAUGGGCGCAAGCCUGAUCCAGCCAUACCGCGUGGGUGAAGAAGGCCUUCGGGUUGUAAAGCCCUUUUGUUGGGAAAGAAAAGCAGCAGGUUAAUACCCCGCUGUUCUGACGGUACCCAAAGAAUAAGCACCGGCUAACUUCGUG